CUUAUUCAUAGGGGGGGCCUUACCCUCUCCCCCAAAUACGGGGAGAAGGGUGAAAGCCAUUGUGCAAGUUAAUAAUAUACGUC
Molecule: transfer RNA, 83 nt
Filed under: Bacteroides thetaiotaomicron
Lineage: Bacteria; Pseudomonadati; Bacteroidota; Bacteroidia; Bacteroidales; Bacteroidaceae
Description: tRNA-Ile
Source: RNAcentral